RNAcentral lists this ribosomal RNA (498 nucleotides) under uncultured bacterium. Its description in RNAcentral is "partial 16S ribosomal RNA". It matches the Rfam family "Bacterial small subunit ribosomal RNA", at positions 28 to 507 of the family's 1533-position model. The record is from RNAcentral.
GACGAACGCUGGCGGCGUGCCUAAUACAUGCAAGUCGAACGAGAGCAACCGGUGCUUGCACUGGUCAAUCUAGUGGCGAACGGGUGAGUAACACGUGGGUAACCUGCCCAUCAGAGGGGGAUAACAUCCGGAAACGGAUGCUAACACCGCAUAGGUCUUCGAACCGCAUGGUUUGAAGAGGAAAAGAGGCGCAAGCUUCUGCUGAUGGAUGGACCCGCGGUGCAUUAGCUAGUUGGUGAGGUAACGGCUCACCAAGGCCGUGAUGCAUAGCCGACCUGAGAGGGUGAUCGGCCACAUUGGGACUGAGACACGGCCCAAACUCCUACGGGAGGCAGCAGUAGGGAAUCUUCCGCAAUGGACGCAAGUCUGACGGAGCAACGCCGCGUGAGUGAAGAAGGUGUUCGGAUCGUAAAACUCUGUUGUUAGAGAAGAACAAGUGCUAGAGUAACUGUUAGCGCCUUGACGGUAUCUAACCAGAAAGCCACGGCUAACUACGUG